UAGGGAAUAUUGGACAAUGGGCGAAAGCCUGAUCCAGCAAUGCCGCGUGAGUGAUGAAGGCCUUAGGGUUGUAAAGCUCUUUUACCCGAGAUGAUAAUGACAGUAUCGGGAGAAUAAGCUCCGGCUAACUCCGUGCCAGCAGCCGCGGUAAUACGGAGGGAGCUAGCGUUGUUCGGAAUUACUGGGCGUAAAGCGCACGUAGGCGGCGAUUUAAGUCAGAGGUGAAAGCCCGGGGCUCAACCCCGGAAUUGCCUUUGAGACUGGAUUGCUAGAAUCCGGGAGAGGUGAGUGGAAUUCCGAGUGUAGAGGUGAAAUUCGUAGAUAUUCGGAAGAACACCAGUGGCGAAGGCGGCUCACUGGACCGGCAUUGACGCUGAGGUGCGAAAGCGUGGGGAGCAAACA
This 402-nucleotide ribosomal RNA is filed under the name uncultured bacterium. Its description in RNAcentral is "bacterial SSU rRNA". It matches the Rfam family "Bacterial small subunit ribosomal RNA", at positions 355 to 774 of the family's 1533-position model. The record is from RNAcentral.